RNAcentral lists this ribosomal RNA (857 nucleotides) under uncultured archaeon. Its description in RNAcentral is "bacterial SSU rRNA". It matches the Rfam family "Archaeal small subunit ribosomal RNA", at positions 67 to 910 of the family's 1478-position model. The record is from RNAcentral.
CCUAAAAUUCCCAUGGCAAACUGCUCAAUAACACAUGAUCAACUUACCCUAUAGAGAAAAAUAACCUCGGGAAACUGAGGAUAAUGUUUCAUAGUUGAAAAGGCUUGGAAAAAGUUUUUCAAUAAAAGGGAUAAAAAAAAAUGGUUUUUAUCUGCUAUAGGAUAGGAUCGUGGUCGAUUAUGGUUGUUGGUGAGGUGAUGGCUCACCAAGCCGAUAAUCGAUAGGGGCCGUGAGAGCGGGAGCCCCGAGAUGGGUACUGAGACAGCGACCCAGGCCUUACGAGGCGCAGCAGGCGCGAAAAUUCAGCAAUACACGAAAGUGUGACUGAGUUACCCAAAGUGUUCAAUUUUGAACUGUGGUAGGUGAGUAAUGUCCCCUACUAGAAAGGAGAGGGCAAGGCUGGUGCCAGCCGCCGCGGUAAAACCAGCUCUUCAAGUGGUCGGGAUAAUUAUUGGGCUUAAAGUGUCCGUAGCUGGUUUAGUAAGUUCCUGGUAAAAUCAGGUAGCUUAACUAUCUGCAUGCUAGGAAUACUGCUAUACUAGAGGGCGGGAGAGGUCUGAGGUACUACAGGGGUAGGGGUGAAAUCUUAUAAUCCUUGUAGGACCACCAGUGGCGAAGGCGUCAGACUGGAACGCGCCUGACAGUGAGGGACGAAAGCCAGGGGAGCGAACCGGAUUAGAUACCCGGGUAGUCCUGGCCGUAAACGAUGCAUACUAGGUGAUGGCGUGGCCAUGAGCCGUGUCAGUGCCGUAGGGAAACCGUUAAGUGUGCCGCCUGGGAAGUACGGUCGCAAGGCUAAAACUUAAAGGAAUUGGCGGGGGAGCACCACAAGGGGUGAAGCCUGCGGUUCAAUUGGA